AACGAACGCUGGCGGCAUGCCUAACACAUGCAAGUCGAACGAGACCUUCGGGUCUAGUGGCGCACGGGUGCGUAACGCGUGGGAACCUGCCCUUAGGUUCGGAAUAACUCCCCGAAAGGGGUGCUAAUACCGGAUAAUGUCUUCGGACCAAAGAUUUAUCGCCCUUGGAUGGGCCCGCGUUGGAUUAGCUAGUUGGUAGGGUAAAAGCCUACCAAGGCGACGAUCCAUAGCUGGUCUGAGAGGAUGAUCAGCCACACUGGGACUGGGACACGGCCCAGACUCCUACGGGAGGCAGCAGUGGGGAAUAUUGGACAAUGGGCGAAAGCCUGAUCCAGCAAUGCCGCGUGAGUGAUGAAGGCCUUAGGGUUGUAAAGCUCUUUUACCCGGGAUGAUAAUGACAGUACCGGGAGAAUAAGCACCGGCUAACUCCGUG
RNAcentral lists this ribosomal RNA (433 nucleotides) under uncultured bacterium. Its description in RNAcentral is "partial 16S ribosomal RNA". It matches the Rfam family "Bacterial small subunit ribosomal RNA", at positions 29 to 507 of the family's 1533-position model. The record is from RNAcentral.